RNAcentral lists this ribosomal RNA (301 nucleotides) under uncultured bacterium. RNAcentral describes it as "partial 16S ribosomal RNA". It matches the Rfam family "Bacterial small subunit ribosomal RNA", at positions 509 to 807 of the family's 1533-position model. The record is from RNAcentral.
CAGCAGCCGCGGUAAUACGGAGGGGGCUAGCGUUGUUCGAAAUUACUGGGCGUAAAGCGCACGUAGGCGGCUUGGUAAGUUAGAGGUGAAAGCCCGGAGCUCAACUCCGGAAUUGCCUUUAAGACUGCCGAGCUAGCAGGUGAGAGAGGUAAGUGGAAUUCCGAGUGUAGAGGUGAAAUUCGUAGAUAUUCGGAAGAACACCAGUGGCGAAGGCGGCUUACUGGCUCAUACUGGACGCUGAGGUGCGAAAGCGUGGGGAGCAAACAGGAUUAGAUACCCGUGUAGUCCCUGUCUCUUAUAC